AGUGUUACUAUCCAAAAAGAACAGUUAUUUUUAAUAGGGUUAAAAGAAAAAUAGAACCACCCAAUCACAAACGUUUAUCAUCUUUUCUCUUUCACUCUCCUCUCGCUGCACAGGUGUGACGAGGCUUUCUUGGCGAUGCUUCUAGCGACUUUGAUGGAAAUGGUUUUGGCGAGGAUAGCGAGAUGGAGGCGAGUCUCUAGCCACUCCCUCAAGCCUAAAUCUAAAUCUGAAUUUCAUAAAACUGGUUCUAAAUAACGUAAGGCGUGACUUGGCGGCAAUGUCAAGCCUCAAGCUUUUCCGAGCCUUGGCGAUACAUGACGUUUGUAAGGCGUGACUUAAGGCAGCAAUUUUUUAUAUAAAUAAUAUUUUUAUAUGUAUUUUCAGUUAUUAUUCAUUUUUUAUACACAUAUAUGAGUUAAAGCAACGUUUUGGCAAAGCUUGGCGGCAGGUGAAAGUCUUGGAGUCGUGGCAUGUCAUGGCGGCGGAGCCAUGACGAGCUUUUUACAACCUUGCUUUUAUUUAUUCUUCUUACUCAUAUUUCUAUUAUUUUUAGAUAGUUUAUGACAAGUGCAAUAAAAUUUUAUUAAAUUUAUUAAAUAUGUCAAAUAUCAUAAUCUUAAA
This is a long non-coding RNA of Lactuca sativa (garden lettuce), 621 nucleotides long. RefSeq lists it as uncharacterized. The record is from RefSeq and is a predicted model, not a curated record. Lineage: Eukaryota; Viridiplantae; Streptophyta; Magnoliopsida; Asterales; Asteraceae.